AGCGACCCCAGGUCAGGCGAGACUA
Molecule: ribosomal RNA, 25 nt
Filed under: Garcinia tsaratananae
Lineage: Eukaryota; Viridiplantae; Streptophyta; Magnoliopsida; Malpighiales; Clusiaceae
Description: partial 28S ribosomal RNA
Source: RNAcentral